UGGAAUUGAAACCACAAGCUGUGGACACGCUCUAAUCUCAAGUAUCAAUAAAGAAGGAAGGUGAUUAGGCAAGCCAUUUGUUAACUCGGGACAACCUGCUAUCAAGAGCUUUGCAAGAUGAGGGAAAGCACCAGCUACAUCUGUAUUCCAUUCCUGCCAUUUUUUCAUCCCCUCGAACUUUAAUAUUUUGAGGGAUUUAAAUGGCUUCUCCAUCGAAGAGUCACUUCCAUAGAACUCAGAGCCAACUGCCACGACUUCAUCAAAUCCUUUAAUUUGGAGCUCUUCUAGAGAUGAAAGCUGCCCCAGUGGUGGUAAGGAGAUGCAGUUCUUACAUCCAGAAAGUGUCAACGCUACCAUAUUUGAGAAGGAAGAGUUUCCAAACCAACCUGGAAACAUCGUACCCCCAUAACCAGUAAUGACAAGCUGUUUCACAUUUUCAGAAGGCUCCAAUUUCUCAAGCACGUCUCUCUCAUGUUGUGUGUCAUCCGUAUUACCACCCCAUAUCAACCUCAGCUUCUCAAUCUUCUUCUUACCCUUCAAAUUGGCAUCCAAAGCAUCUUGAGCAUUUGCAACAUCUCUGAGAUUCCGAAUAGAAAGUUUUCUCCUUAUAUGUGAGAGCUUCCCCAGCUCUUUCAUGCUAGACCCACUCUCUUUUCCCACGACGUAAUAUUGCAAAGUUCGAAGCUUUGUGAGUUUCCCCAUUUUUGGUGGCAUCACUUUCAAAUUUGUCCCUUCAAUAUCAAGAUGUUGUAACUCGACCAAGUUCGAAAUGUUGGAUGGCAACUCCAUGAGAUGUCGACACUCUCUUAACAACAGAGUUUGCAGAUAGUACAAGGUGCUCACACUUUCGGCAACCGUUCAAUUAAUGUCUGAGAAAGGUCCAAGUGCCGCAAAUGUUUCAAGUUGCCGAUGGAAUUGGGCAAAUGAGAAGAUUUAUAGCUCCACCGAUAUAAAGAUAGCGUUCGCAAGCGCUUAAGAUUUGUCAACAUGUCAUUCAGCACCCCACUAUCAAUCCCCCCCACGUAUGUUAGUGGAGACAAGGUGCGCAAAUGUUGGACUCCAUGAAUGCGAGGAAAUAUCUUAGAGACCCCAUCACAUAGUGUUGAAGUGAUUGAUAAAUGACGAGUCCUUUCUGGAAGCGUGCAUGAAUUUUCACCCUCCAACGUAGUGCCCGAUUCUCCAUCCAUAACAAGUUUAAAGCAGAAUUCUCCUGACAUGUAUUCAGCUAGAUCACUUGUGAGGUCGUGCAUGCUGAAAUAUGAUGGGGCGUAAAGUGAUUGCUGAAACAGUGACCUAGAGACAAGGUCAUUGAAGUAUUUGUCACCUAUUUCUUCCAUCUCCUCAACACCUCUGGACUGGACUAGAAAACCUUGUGCCAUCCAUGAAGUGAUUACUUGAUUCUUCUCAAAUACAUAACCCUUGGGAAAUAUUGCACAAUAAGCAAAACAACGUUUGAGGUGUGAAGGGAGAUAAUAAUAGCUCAAUGUUAGAGCUGGAGGGAUGUUUUCAUUCGACAAACCCCACAUGUUGCUAUUGGAUAUCUUCUCCCAUUCCUUGACAUCUCCUUCGGAAUGCAAAAGACCCCCAAGAGUUUUCGCAGCCAGCGGUAAACCUUUGCACUUUCUCGCUAUUUCUCUGCCAAAUGUUUCCAAGUGUGAGAAUGCUCCAGAAUUUGCACUGCUAAAUGCAUGCCUUGCAAACAACUGCCAGCAAUCUUCAUCGCUGAUUACAUUCAAGCGGUGAGAGGGGAUGACAGUUUGCGUGACUUUUGCUACAUCUUCAUUCCGUGUUGUCACGACAAUCUUACUUCCAGGCUCUGCAUACUGCAAAGGUAGCAGUAAUUUAACCCAUUCAUUGUACACAAUGUUCCACGCAUCAUCUAGAACAAGUAGAAGUUUUUUCCCUUUCAAUGCCUCCAUUAGAGAUUCAUCUGGUUCUUUGGUGCCGCAAGUACCUGCGUUGAUCUUCUUAAGAAUAUCAUCAACUAUCCUGGUGACGUCAAAUUGUUGAGAAGCCCAGACCCAGGCUUUGAGCUCGAAGCACUCAUCUACCCUUCUGUCUUUGUAGAUAAGCUGAGCAAGAGUGGUUUUACCAACCCCUCCCAUGCCCACAAUAGGAAUCACACCUACAUUUGCACCAUUUGUAUUGUUUUUUGUCAACAAGUACUUCAUUAUGGCUUCCUUAUCAGCUUCCCUUCCAUAUACAUGAGAUUCAUCAACCACAGGAGUUGUUUUCUCUGACAAUGGUCUCCAUCCACCAGUACCUUCUAUGUGCGCAGAUCACCCUUGUGUUUAACUAAACGUUCAAGCUUCUCAUAGAUCUUUUGCAACUCUGCUUCCAUCUCUUUCAUCCUUUUAUUAGCUGGAUUAAGAAUUGGAAACAAAUUCCUUACCUGCAAUGGCGGAACAUAUCCAUGUAUAUGAGAUAGAAUUUAGGAACAUAUAAAUACUAAAAUUAUUAAACUCGUACCGAGUAAGUUAACACACAGAUGCAAUGAUGUUUUGUUUAUAAAAAAUUAAAAAAAAAUUAAAAUGAGAUUAUUUUCUUAAAAAAAUUAAGUCUAACCAAGAUUCUAAUGAGAUGAUAGGAUGGUGAAUUAACCCUCCAGGUUACUAAAAUUUGAAAGAUAAAUUCAGCAAUUAGCACAGUAAACAUAAAAAAGUGAUGCAAUGAUAUCGUUUGAAAAAACUUUUGAAAAAUAGUAUAUUUUCACCUUAUCACACCUAAGAAAAGCAAUAUUUACUAAAUUUUAUUAUUACUAAGCAUAACAAGAUAGUUGUCGUACUUUGAAUAGCAACAUUUAGUAAAUGUUGUGCUUUUAAAGAGCGACAAGGUGAAACUUCAAUCAUCUGACUCAAUUAAUUGACCUGUUCAUAAUGGUUAGUGAAAUCGAUCGACCGAUUAAAAUAUAAGAAAAAUCUCAAAAAUAUCAAAAUCAAGGGGCCUCGAUGAGAUUUUUGAUAUCUAGAGAUUUGAUAGUUUACAUAACGACAUAUUGGCUACAAUAGGGAAGAUGAUUUUUGAAAACUUCUAUAUAAGUUUGAGUGCGAUUUAACAGUCUAAUAAACAAUUAUAGCUUUUUUAGUCGUUAUUCUGGUCUGUCGGAACCAGAUCUCCUCUUGAGCCUUAAACUAUCUCCUCUUUGCACUUAAUUAAAUCCUUCAAUUUAAUCUAAAUUAAUUCUUAAACAUAAUUAAAAUUUAAUUUGGCCCAUGAUUAAAUCAAAUUGGCUCAUUAAAAAUUUAAUUACGUCAUUGGACUUAAUUUGUAUGCAAAUUCAUCCAAUAAUCAUUUAAUUUGACCUUCGAAUUUGCAUUUAAUUUGACCUUCGAUUUUUGUCUAUUUUUGCAGUCUUUUUUAUCAGCUUUUUCCAUAUUGCCAGCCUUUAUUUUAUUUAUUUUAUUUUUAUUUUUUUAAAAAAAGUGAAUUUUGAAGAAUAACCCAGAAUUGAGUUAUGACAAUCUUGAAAAAUUGCAUGAUGGAUUGAGGGUUAUGAACCGUUCAAAAACUAGACUCAAAUUCUCUGUGCAAUAUAAGAAUCUAAAGCUCGUAGAAAGAAGUAGGAAAAAAUAGCUAGAAAAGUAAGAGAAUGAAGGCAAAAAAAGUUGACAAGAUCUCUGUAAUAGCUCUGGAUCUAUUGCUUGGACCAAGGAUUAAAUAUAACAUUAUAGAUAAUCAUUGUGUCUGCUUCUACCAUUUCUUUUCACUUCUUCUUAAAGGUUAAAAGGCUAAAGGUGCAACUAGGGGUGAGCAAAGAAACCGAAAAACUGAUUAAACCGAGAAAACUGGAAAAAAUAUAACCGAAAAAACCGAAUCUAAAAAAAAAACCGAUCAAACCGAUUAGAAAAAUUAAAAAACAAGCCGGUUCGGUUCGGUUUCGGUUUUAAAAAGCUAAAACCGAAUAAACCGAACCGAACUGAACCGGUUCAAGUAAAAAAAAGUAAUAGUACUAUAAAUACCUACUUUUCAGCUUUCCCCUUCUCCUUUCUAAACCCUAGCUGCCACCCAUGUUUCAUAAUCUUCACCUCUCAACUCAGCCCCUACCCCAUCUUCACUCUCAACCUUGCCCCCACCCCCAUCUUCAUUGUCAACCUUUAUCGCCCAUGUUUCUCAAUCUUCAUCUCUCAGCCAUAGUUAUUAAACCCGGCCCGGCCCGGCGGGUCGACCCGGGACCCGGUCGACCCGGUGGCUGGACCGGUUCGGGUUUAAUAAAAGACCGGCUGUGGCAACAGCCCGGCCAAACCCGGGCGACCCGGGCAAACCCGGACGAGACCCGGGUUUUUUUUUUUUUUUUAAAUUUGGGAUAAAAAAAAUUUGGUUUAAAUAUUUCAACUUAAAAUGAUAACAUAGUAUCUUUUCAAUGUGGGGUUUGAAGCCCUUUCAUAUAUAUACUCUAUGUUCACAUGAAAAAAAUUAUAUUUUUUCAAUGUGGGAUUUAAAACCCAUUAGUAUAUAUACUCUAUGUUCCCAAGGAAAAAAUCAUGUUUUUUCAAUGUGGGAUAAAAAACCUUUUGGUUUAAAUACUUCAACUUAAAGGGAUAACAUAGUAUCUUUUCAAUGUGGGAUUUGAAGCCCUUUCAUAUAUAUACUCUAUGUUCCCAUGAAAAAAGUUAUGUUUUUUCAAUGUGGGAUUUGAAACCCAUUAGUAUAUAUACUCUAUGUUCCCAAGGAAAAAUUCAUGUUUUUCCAAUGUGGGAUAAAAAACCUUUUGGUUUAAAUACUUCAACUUAAAGGGAUAACAUAGUAUCUUUUCAAUGUGGGAUUUGAAGCCCUUUCAUAUAUAUACUCUAUGUUCCCAUGAAAAAAGUUAUGUUUUUUCAAUGUGGGAUUUGAAACCCAUUAGUAUAUAUACUCUAUGUUCCCAAGGAAAAAAUCAUGUUUUUCCAAUGUGGGAUAAAAAACCUUUUGGUUUAAAUACUUCAACUUAAAGGGAUAACAUAGUAUCUUUUCAAUGUGGGAUUUGAAGCCCUUUCAUAUAUAUACUCUAUGUUCCCAUGAAAAAAGUUAUGUUUUUUAAACCAAAAUGUUUUUUAUCCCACAUUGAAAAAACAUGAUUUUUUCUUUAGGAACAUAGAGUAUAUAUACUAAUGGGUUUCAAAUCCCACAUCGAAAAAACAUAACUUUUUUCAUGGGAACAUAGAGUAUAUAUAUGAAAGGGCUUCAAAUCCCACAUUGAAAAGAUAUUAUGUUAUCCCUUUAAGUUGAAGUAUUUAAACCAAAAGGUUUUUUUAUCCCACAUUGGAAAAACAUGAUUUUUUCCUUGGGAACAUAGAGUAUAUAUACUAAUGGGUUUCAAAUCCCACAUUGAAAAAACAUAACUUUUUUCAUGGGAACAUAGAGUAUAUAUAUGAAAGGGCUUCAAAUCCCACAUUGAAAAGAUACUAUGUUAUCCCUUUAAGUUGAAGUAUUUAAACCAAAAGGUUUUUUAUCCCACAUUGAAAAAACAUGAUUUUUUCCUUGGGAACAUAGAGUAUAUAUACUAAUGGGUUUCAAAUCCCACAUUGAAAAAAUAUAAUUCAACUUAAAAUACUUCAACUUAAAAGCUUAACAUAAUAUCUUUUUAACGUGGGAUAAAAAACUUUUUAAAAUAUUAUUUUAAACUUGAUUAUUUAUAAUAUAUAUAAUCUAUAUUUACAUGAAUUUUUUCAUAUGAAAUAUUAAUUUUUUUUUAAUUAUUACGGGUUAAUCCGGGUCAACCCGGGUUGACCCAUGAAACCCGAGACCCAGCCCCUUGGCCGGGUCAACCCCCGGGCCGGGUUUAAUAACUAUGCUCUCAGCACAGCCCCCCCUCCCAUCUUCAUCUCUCAUCCCUCAACCUUUCUCACAACCCGCCAUCACAGCCCCCCAUCUUCAUCUCUUAUCUCUCAACAUUUCUCACAAACCCCCCUCAACAUCUUCAUCUCUCAUCUCUCUCAACCUUUCUUUAAGGCUUCAAGCAUAAUUUUUUUGUCCUUUUCUUUAAGCAUAGUCGACUAAGCUCCAUGGAUUAACAACCAAAUAGCAGCUCUAGAGCCUCCCUCUCUUCAAUCUUUAUCUCUUAAUUUUUGUCCCUGUUUAUUUUUUUUUCUGAUUUCUGUAGAUCUGUUAUGUAUUCAUUUUCUAUAUUUAUUUACAAGAAUGUUGAUUUGCCAUUCAUGUUGCGAUUACUGUAAUGGAUGUUGUGAUAAAUAUUUUUUUCAAAUUUUCGUUUGAAUCUUGUUCUUUUUGGCUUCCUGAUUUAGAAAACCUGCUUGGUAUGCUUGGCCAAGAUGCAAUCAGUUUUUUCCGGUUUUUUCUUUCAAUUAACCGAACCGAACCGAAAAUGGUCGGUUUGAACCGGUUUCGAUUCGGUUUCGGUUUUCAUUUAAAAAUAAAUAAAUAAAUUGGUUUGGUUAGUUUUUUUGGUGAAAACCGGACCGAACUGGAAAUGCUCACCCCUAGGUGCAACCAUUGUUUUCUUGUUUCAAGCAGGAAAUUUUUUUUGCCUAACAAAAACAUAUGUACCUCCUUUUGUUUCCACCAAAGACAAAAAAAAUAGUUGGGAUACUGACUCGAAACAUGCAUUUAUAUGAUCAUAAAUAAUAAAUGGUAGUCCAAAUCAUUAAAUAAAUGAGUUUUAGCUUAUGUUUUAAUUUAAUUUAUUUGAACUUUUAGUUGAAAUGUAUUAAUUAGAUAUUAUUUGUUGGGUUUGAUUUAAUUAUUGUUAGGUAUUUUAUUUAGUGGACUAUACACUUAAUUGUUUGUUCUAGUUUGGGUUUCAGUAUUUGAUAAGCUUUUUCUUCUCUUUAGUUGGCUUCCCUUUCUUUUCUCUCUUCUUUAACUUUAAAUCUCUUUUGUCUUGUAUCAAAUUUGGUAUUAGAUUAUUGUUCUUGGUGGGAUUAGAGUUUUUUCUUGAUAAAUGGUAGUCAAAUUUGGUAUUAGAGCGCAAGUACAAAACUAGUUACAUGGUAUAGUCAAACCACCUCCUAUAACAAAAUUAAGGGUGUGCUUGGGAAGGCGGUACAAAUCGUGUUCCCUCAAAUUUUAAAUUUUUUUUUAUUUUUGCUUUUUUAUAGUUUUUGAUCAUUUUGAUGUGUUGAUGUCAAAAAUAAUUUUAAAAAACUAAAAAACUUUUAUUUUACUACAUUUCUAAACAAAACAUCCUUUGAAUUGUCACUGCUAACAUAAUUUCAAACACAUUCUAAGGAUGCGUUUGUUUCCUAGAAAGUGGUUUUUUAAAAAAACAAUUUUUCAAACUUUCCUGUGUUUAUUUACCAUUACGAAAGUUGGUCAAUGAAAAAUACUUUUCGGUCAACGAAAAACACUUUCAUGUCAAAGGAAAAUUUAACUUGAUUUCUAGGAAAGUAUUUUCCUUUUAUUUUGGGUGGAAAACACUUUCUAAAAGUUGUGAAAAAUAUAAAAAUAUCAUAUUAUUUGCUGAUUAUGUCAAAUUUGGUCCUCAAACUUUUGAUUGUUAUAUAUUUUGUUCGAAUUUUUUUUCUUUCAAAUUCAUCCCUUAAAAUUUGAUUUAAUUUAAUUUUUAUAUUCACUUUGAUCCUUUUUUUUUAUGAUUGUUAUUUACUUUUCUCUUAUUAUUUUUAAAAUUGAAUUUUUUUUAUCUGUCAAAUUUGAUCUUCAUUCUUUUGAUUGUUACUUAUUUUAUUUAAAAUAAUUAAUAAAAUUAUAAUAAUUAUUAUUUUAAUUUCAUCAUCUUUCAAUUUUUUUAUCUGUUAAAUUUGAUCUCUAUUAUUUUAAUUAUUAUUUAUUUUAUUUGAGAUCAUUUAUGAACUUAAUUUUUUUUUAAUUCUAUUCUCAUUCAACUUUUUAGUUUAUAAAAUUUGUUUCUUAUUAUUUUAAUAAACUUGAAAUAAAAUAAAACAUUAAAAAGCUAUUUUCCGGCUCAUUUUCUAUAAUAUAACCAAACACUGAAAAGUGUUUUCCAAUUUUCUUUGCAUGAUACUACCAAAUAUUAAAAAAUAAUUAAUUUCUUGGAAUUCAUUUCUAAAAAAACUAUAUUUAAAAAAAAAACUAUUUUUCUACCAACAAACGAAGCCUAUGUAAACUAAGUAAACGACAACGUUUGAUAUCCCUAUAUCGGAAAGGGGUCAGCCAUUCUCUUGGCACGGACUCGAGCUUAGGACAAUUCGAGAUAAUCAAUCGGCGAAGAGAGGUGAGGUGCUGCAGCCCCAUUACAGAUUUCAGAUUUAUCAGACCUGAUAUUUGAAGAGAUACAAGGGAGGAGGGCAGCUUCUCUCCUGGCAUGGACUCGAGCUUAGGAGAACUACAGAUAUGUAAUUUACGAAGAGAGGUGAGGUGCUGAAACCCCUUAUAUUCCAGAUCUUCCAAAUCCCAGAUUUCAAGGUCUUCAAGGGAGGAGGGAAGGGUGCCUUCUUGAAGGGACUCAAGCUUAAGGCUCCUCCUUAUCUUCAUUUUGCGAAGAGAGGUGAGGUGCCGAAGCUCCUUGUAGUCCCGGUCUUGCUGAUUCCAUAAUUGAAGGAUUUCAAGGGAGGAAGGCAGCCCCUGCAACGAUUCAAGUUUAGGACAAUUCCCGAUCUUCAAAUUGUGAAGAGAGGUGAGGUGCUGAAGCCCAAUGUAGUCCAGAGAUUCCAGUUUACAGAGAUAAAGGCAUUCAAGGGAGGAGGGCAGCGCCUGUUCUGGAUAUGUGCUCAAGUUUAGGGUAACUCUCAAUACUCAAAUUUCUAAGAGAGGUGAGGUGAUGAAGCCCCUGGUAUUCAAGGGAGGAGGGCAGCACCUGUUCUGAUAUGAACUCAACUUUAGGGCAACUCUUGAUCUUCAAUGUGUCAAGAGAGGUGAGGUGAUGAAGCCCCAUGUAGUCCAGAGAUUCUAGAUUUCUGAGAUAAGGUAUUCAAGGGAGGAGGGAAGCGCCUGCUCUGAUAUGGACUCAAGCUUAGGGCAACCCUCGAUACUCAAUCUCUGAAGAGAUGUGAGGUGAUGAAGCUCCUUAUAGUCCAGAGAUUUCAGGUUUUCCAGACGAUUGAUUUCAAGGGUUGUAAGAGUAGAGGGCAACGUCUCCUCGUCAAAAGACUCCACAUCGUUCCCAGUAAAUAUGAAGCAUGAAAGAGAAGGGAGUGCUUGCAAACCACAUACCUUGAGUUUGAUACAAUCCACAAUGCAAAGUGUGUUUAAUUUGGAGGGUAAACCUCCUUCAGGAAACGAAUCAACUUCUGGAAGUGAGAUCAAUUGCAAAUCUGUAGGGAAGGGAGGAGGGAAUGCAUGUUUUCCGGCAACGACUUCAAAUAUGAGCAACCCUCUAACACAAGCCUUGUCAAAUCUGGGGCAGCUAGUCCUCCUUUGGGGAAAGACACCAAAUUAGGACAGUGACUGAUUGUCAGAUGACAGAGAGCAGGGACAGGUCUCUCGCCUAUACAAAGGGAUUCCAGAUUGAGACAAUGUUCAAUGGUAAGUGUGGAUACCUGGGGUAAAAGGUCUAGCUGGCAGCACUUAAAUGAACUACAUCUCUCGAUUUUGAUAAAAGUGAAAGAAGAGGGAUCCAAACGACUCAUUUGCUCCAUUCCCUUUAGCUGGGGAUCUUGUCUAAAAUGGAGGCACGGCGUGGAUGGUUGAUCUGAUAACCCAAACUGUCCUGUUAGCCCAUUUAUACGUCUUUCAUCGCCCUCAGAUACAUUGAUUACGCCGAGCAUGGGUGCCUCUGGAAUUGAAACCACAAGCUGUGGACAUUCUUGAAUAAAAGCUUCCAUAAACAAGGAAGGUGACUAGGCAAGGCAUUUGUUAACUUGGGGCAAUGUCUUAUGCGGAGCUCUGCAAGAUGAGGGAAAGCACCAGCUACAUCUGUUUUCCAUUCCUGCCAUUUUCGCAUCCCCUCAAACUUUAAUAUUUUGAGGGAUUUAAAUGGCUUCUCCAUCGAAGGGUCACUUCCAUAGAACUCAGAACCAACUGCCACGACUUCAUCAAAUCCUUCAAUAUGGAGCUCUUCUAGAGAUGGCAGCUGCCCCAAUGGUGGUAAGAGGAUGCAGUUCUUACAUCCAUAAAGAAACAACACUACCAUAUUUGAGAAAGAAGAGUUUCCAAGCCAGCCUGGAAACGUUGUACCCCGUAACCAGUAAUGGCAAGCUGUUUCACAUUUUCAGAAGGCUCCAAUUUCUCAAGUACUUCUCUCUCGUGUGGUGUGUCAUCCGUAUUGCCAUCCCACGUCAACCCCAACUCCUCAAUCUUCUUCUUACCCUUCAAAUCGGCAUCCAAAGCAUCUUGAGCAUUUGCAACAUCUCUGAGAUUCCGAAUAGAAAGUUUUUUCCUUAUAUGUGAGAGCUUCCCCAACUCUUUCAUGCUAGACCCGCUAUCUUUUCCCACGAUGUAAGAUUCCAAAAUUCGAAGCUUCGUGAGUUUCCCCAUUUUUGGUGGCAUCUCUUUCAAAUUUGUCCCUUCAAUAUCAAGAUGUUGUAAGUCGACCAAGUUGGAAAGGUUGGAUGGCAACUCCAUGAGAUGUCGGCACUCUUUAACAAUAAGCUUUGCAAAUAGUACAAGGUGCACACACUUUCAGGUAACCUUUCAAUGGCGGUGCAAGAAAGGUCCAAGUGCCGCAAAUGUUUUCAAGUUGCCAAUGGAAUUGAGCAACUGAGAAGAAAUAUCUUUUAGAUGAAUAAAGAUAGCAUUCGCAAGCGCUUAAGAUUUGGCAAGAUGUCAUUCAGUGCCUCAUAUCACUUCCCUUAAAAACAUAGUGGAAACAAGGCGCGCAAAUGUUGGACUCCAUGAAUGCUACGAAAUAUCCGAAGUCCUCGUCAUAUGCUCCUGAAGUGAUUGAUAAAUAACGAGUCCUUUCUGGAAGCGAGCAUGAAUGUUCACCCUCCAACCCAGAGCCCGAUUCAUUAAUACCAAGCUUAAAGCAAAAUUCUCCUGACACGUAUUCAGCUAAAUCACUUAUGAUGUCAUGCAUGCUGAAAUCUGAUUGAACAUGAAGUGAUUGCUGGAAAAGUGACCUGGAGACAAGAUCAUCAAAGUAUUUUUCACCUAUAUCUUCCAUCUCCUCAACUCCUCUGGACUGGCCUAAAAAACCAUGUGCCAUCCAUUCAGUGAUUAAUCCAUUUUUCUUGAAUACAUAACUCUUGGGAAAUAUUGCACAAUAAACAAAACAACGUUUCAGGUGUGAAGGGAGAUAAUAAUAGCUCAAUGUUAGAGCUGGAGGGAUGUUUUCAUUCGACAAUCCCCACAAACUGCUAUUGGAUAUCUUCUCCCAUUGCCUGACAUCUCCUACGGAGUGCAAAAGACCCCCAAGAGUUUUCGCUGCCAGCGGUAAACCUUUGCACUUUCUCGCUAUUUCUCUGCCAAAUGCUUCCAAGUGUGAGACUGCUCCAGAAUUUACACCACUAAAUGCAUCCCUUGCAAACAAUUUCCAGCAAUCUUCAUCGCUUAUUACAUCCAAGCGGUGAGAGGGGAUGACUGUUUGCGUGACUUUUGCUACAUCUUCAUUCCGUGUUGUCACGACAAUCUUACUUCCGUGCUCCACAUACAGCAAAGGUAGCAGUAGUUUAUCCCAUUCAUUGUACUUAAUGUUCCACGCGUCAUCUAGAACAAGUAGAAGUUUCUUCCCUUUCACUGCCUCCAUUAGAGAUUCAUCUGGUUCUUUGGUGCGGCAAGUACUUGCGUUGAUCUUAUCAAGAAUAUCCUUAAUAAUCCUGGCAACAUCAAAUUGUUGGAAGCCCAGACCCAGGCUUUGAGCUCGAAGCACUCAUCUAUCGUUGUAGAUAAGCUGAGCAAGAGUGGUUUUACCAAUCCCGCCCAUGCCCACAAUGGAACGCACAACUAAAUUUGAGCCAUCUGUGUUGUGUUGUGUCAACAAGUGCUCCAUUAUGGCUUCCUUAUCAGCGUCCCUUCCAUAUACAUAGAGAUUCAUUAACCAGUGGAGUUGUUUUCUCUGACAAUGGUCUCCAUCCACCAGUACCUUCUAUGUGGCGCAGAUCACCCUUGUGUUUAAGUAAACGUUCAAGCUUCUCAAGGAUCUUUUGUAACUCUGCUUCCAUCUCUUUCAUCCUUCUAUUAGCUGGAUUUAGAAAUGGAAACCGAUCCUUACCUGCAAUGGUGGACUAAAUAUGUGAGAUAGAAUUCAGGAAAACAUUAUAAUUUAUAAUAUCAAAACAUAAACAUUAAGAUUUUUACAUCUAGUGAAUUAAUAAGUUAAUACCAUUAAAUUGUUGAUGCUAUAAACAUUAAGAUUUUUACAUCUAGUGAAUUAAUAAGUUAAUGCCAUUAAAUUGUUGAUGCUAGCUUAACGUAAUUAAGCAGUGAAAGUCAAGUUUUAAAAAGAUAUUGAUUCAAUGCCAUAAGUGAUUUUCAUAGCCCUUACUAUAUAAUAUUAUUUAUAUAUAUAUAAUGAAAUUAAUUUUUUUUCUAAAAUAAAAAUGGAAAAAUAAUUGUUUAGCAAUUAAAAAGUAAAGUAUUUAUUUUUCAUAUUUAAAAUAAAGAUAUGAGCCUUUCAUGUAUAAAACAUCAUUCCAAUUUCUAAUUGUGCUAACAAAAAAUCAAUGCAUAAUUCUUGGUGAUUAUUAUAUAUAAUUACUAAGAAAUUUAAUAUUUAUAAUAAUGGGUUUUGAAUCUCGUAAGUCCUAACUAUUCAUCACUAAAAAUAUUGAAAGACAAUUCAAUUUUAUAUCCCUUAUAUUUUCAUAAAAAAGUAAGAGUCAUUCAUGUUCUCAUAAAAAUAUAUAUAAUUUAAUUGACAAAAUUUAUAUAAAUAAUUCAGAUUUUAAAAAUAUAGCAUUUUGGAUUUUAAAAAAAACAAACAAACAAAUAGAGGGAUCAAUACAAACAUUUUAUGAGGAAGCAAGGUCUCUAGGUGCAAGAACUUAUGCUUACCCAAUUGCUGUCAGGUCGAGGGGCAUCAAUGUCCUUGGAUCGUAGAUAUUCAUAAUCAAUCUCCUCCGAUAUGUCCUCAGCUUCAUAGACAGCGUGUUUAACAUCAUUAAGCCACUUCUUCACAGCACGAUUUGUAAUCUGCUUCUCCUCCGCAUCGUCGAGUAGUCCGUUGACAGUAUUCAGUGUUUCAUUCAGCUUUUCCAGAAGACCAUCAUCGAGUUUGUGGCUUUGGAAGAAGCCCAGAACCUCACGAGAGGCCAACCUGUCGACCAGAACCUCAAUGAGAGCAGAGAGAAUUGAUCCUCCGAUCAACUCCAGAGACAUGGUGGAUUUUUGCAGAAGGGUGAGGGUGGGAAUAUGUGAGAGAAAAGGAGUUGUGGAAAGCAGGAGCCUUGGUGGAUUUUUGCUAAAGGGUGAGAGAGUGAUUAUGUGAGAGAGAAUGAUAAGCCAAAUAGAAAACCCGAGGAAGCCGGCUUCGAGUGUGUUUGUCCUUGACGCAGUGUAUGCGUUUUCUCUCAAUGUAUAGAAAUGAUGGGCCCACUGCCCAAGGUUGGAACUUGGAUAUGAAAAAGAUUUUUUUUUUUCUGCUUUUUACAUGCUGGAUCACAGGUUAAACCUUCUUGAUCUGCUAAAAAAAACAUUCAAAAAUUAUCUUUGCAUCCUUUUUCUUUCUCCUAUCAUUCAUUACAAUUGCUUGUCUUUCUUUGAACAAUACAAUUGCCCAGAAAAUUCUGGUUUUGCUAUCAACAUGAUACAAUAGCAAUGAACAAGUCUAUUUCAUUAAAAAUUCAGAUUUGUAAUUUACUCGUAAACUAGUCGACUUAUCAGGUCAACCUGAAACUUGAAUGACUCGGUAAAAUACUAGUAAAGACCAUUUUCUUCAAAUGUAUUUUUUUCUCCUAUCUAGGAACCUUUUAUAUAUUUUAUUUUUUUUAUUUAGUUACUCAUUUCAAAAUUCACUAUAUAAAUAUUAGAAGAAUAUUUUAUUUUUUUAAUGUGAUAUUUUGAAGCCCUUUAAUAUAUAUACUUUAUGUUCUUCAAAAAAAAAUUAUGUUUUUUCAAAUGUAGAAUAAAAAACCUUUUUUGUUUAAAUACUUCAACUUAAAAAAAUAAGAUAGUAUAUUUUCAAAGUAGAAUAAAAAAUCUUUUGAAAUAAUCUUUUAAACUUAAUUGCUUACAACAUGUAUAGCCUAUAUCCAUAUAGAUUAUUUUUUAUUUUUUUAUAUAAAAUAUUAAAACCUCAUAUUUUUUUAAUUUUUCCUGAUUGACCCGAGUCAACCCAUGUAAACUAGGACCUAGCCCCUUAGUCGGGUUAAUCCUUAGGCUGAGUUUGAUAACCAUGAUUGUCAUGAGAAUACAACUUUAAAAAUGCAAUUAAAAAGAAAUAAAGUGAUGUGAACAGUUAAAAAAUCAAAUAAAUAGAUAAAACCUUUUCUUUUUUAUUUUAUUAAGGGCCUCUUUUAAUUAUUUUUUUUAUUAUGUGUUUAGAGAUAAAUUUAUGGACACUAAAAUCAACAUUUUUUAUUCUUGAAAUACAACUCACCAAAAUACCUUUUUAUAUAUAUCUAACGACUUUCUAUUUAUACUCAUGACAUCAAAAAAUUGAAAUACGAGGAGAAUGAAGUUUUAGAAUUAAAUAUAAAUAGCUAAAACUACAAGAAUAAAAGAAAAAACUUUAGGAACCCAAAUGAACUUUUAUGAGAAUUUCAAGGAUCAAAACUCAAUAUUCAGAUAGUAAAACGAGUGGGAAAUGAAGUUUAAAACUAAAAUGUAAACACAUAAAACUACUAGGAUUAAAAAUAUUUUUUUAAAAAACUUCAUUUGGUAUUACUCUUAGAACGUAAUUGGUACAAGGCUUAAAAAUAUGGGUGAAAUUAUCACAUAAAUAAUAAUUAUUAUUAUAAGAGCAAAUUUAAAAAGUGUAAAUGUUGGUUUUUAAAAAUGACUGAUGUAUUUGAACAGUUAAAUACUUGUGAAAAAAAGAGAGAAUAAUUUAAUAAUUAACUUCAACUUUUCCAUUAAUUAAUUAAGAUCUAAAAAAUCCAAAAAUUAUAAGUUUCUAAUAUAAAGUUAAAAAAUUUACAUAUAUAUAAAAAAGAUAUUUCAUAAAAUUCUAUUUUUUUUUAAUAAUUCACAGAAACUCAAUGCAAGACUUCAUAUGUUGAAUCUUCUCAUUAUCAACACUUUCAAAUAUAUCUUUUUUGAUAUAAGUAACCAAACAAUCAUUAAAUAAAUUAUCCCCAACUCGAUUGUGUAAUCGACUUUUGACUAAUUUCAACGUUGAAAAUAUUCUCUUUACUGAUGCAAUAACCACGCGUAAAAUUAAUGCUAAAUUUAUCACGUAAUAUAUGUUAUUUAUUAAAUUUAUUACUUAUAUAUUAAAAUGUAUGGGAUUUUCACCGUGUAUUUGUUAUUAUACAAUUUUUUUUUUCAGUUUAUCCAUGACAACUAGAGUGCCGAGCUCAAAAUGCUAGGGUCUGACAUAGUACCCGACCUAAUUACCAAACCCUAGAUUUGGUAACUAUGCAAGACCCAAGCAUCCCUUGCAAACAACUCCCAGCAAUAUUCAUAGCUUAUUGCAUUCAAGCGGUGAAAGGGGAUGACAGUUUGCGUGACUUUUGCUACAUCUUCUUCCCGUGUUGUCACGACAAUCUUACUUCCGUGCUCCACAUACCGCAAAGGUAGCAGUAGUUUAUCCCAUUCAUUGUACUUGAUGUUCCACGCGUCAUCUAGAACAGGUAGAAGUUUUUUCCCUUUCACUGCCUCCAUUAGAGAUUCAUCUGGUUCUUUGGUGCGGCAUGUACUUGCGUUGAUCUUAUCAAGAAUAUCCUGAAUAAUCCUGGCAACAUCAAAAUAGAUAACAACUACUGUAUAAAUAAUAAUUUUUAAAAUUUUUAAUUGAAAUCUAUUUUUUAAUCUAAUUAUUGGACACAUAUGAACAUUUUGACUCAUAAUUAAUUUUUUUAAAAAAAAUUCAUAAAAUUAUAAUUUUUAUGUGAAAUAAUCCACUGUUUAAUACAAUAAACUUCAAUUAAAUGACCAAUUAAGCUAGAUGAUUGAACUUUCAAUUAAUUUGUUAACUUGCGCUAACAUUUACCAAUGUUACUGUUUGAAAAUGUAAAAGUAAGCUAUUUCACUAAAAAAAAAUUUCGGUCUAGCAUCACUAAGCCACCUCUGCACAGCAGGCUUGGUAAUCUGUUUCUCCUCCGCGUCGUCGAGAAGUCCGUUGAGAGUAUUCAGUGUUUCUUUCAACUUUCCGAGAAGACCAUCAUUGAGCUUGUGGCUUUCGUCUCAUUUGCCCUGAAACCAAGCAUACGUUGUGGAAUUGAAAAGUAAGCAAGAGUUGCAAUAAAUCUCGUAAGUUAUGGAUUGAUUUGGUUCUACGAGGAUUAAUAUCACAACCAGCUUUGAAAAGCGAUAUGUUUUUGAUUUUUUGUUGUUUUUUUUAAAUGUUUUUUAAUUAAAAAUAUAUUAAAAUAAUAUUUUUUAUUUAUUAAUUAAAAAUAAAUUAUUUAAAAUAAAGAAAACAAUUAAAUUUUUUUUAAAAAAAAAAUUUAAAAUGUAAAAAUAAACAGCCUUGAAGAAGGUUUUUGAGAGUAUAGUAAUACUUGCUUUUAAAAAAAAAAAUUUGCUUAUGUGUGAGAGCUUCCCCAGCUCUUUCAUGCUAGACCCGCUCUCUUUUCCCACAAUGUAAUAUUCCAAAUAUCGAAGCUUUGUGAGUUUCGUUAUUUUUGGUGGCAUCUCUUCCAAAUUUGUCCCUUCAAUAUCAAGAUAUUGUAGGUUGACCAAGUUGGAAAUGUUGGAUGGCAACUCCAUGAGAUGUCGGCACUCUCUUAACAAUAGAGUUUGCAAAUAGUACAAGGUGC
RNAcentral lists this long non-coding RNA (16652 nucleotides) under Populus tremula. RNAcentral's name for it is "long non-coding RNA (PTRE_LNC001439)". The record is from RNAcentral. Lineage: Eukaryota; Viridiplantae; Streptophyta; Magnoliopsida; Malpighiales; Salicaceae.